GAUAGGUCUCGUAGUCAGUCCAUUAUUAAUUAUUACAUAAAUCAGUUUUUUCUAUUAAGUAUUUAAUUGCCAAUUGUUAAGAGUAAAAUGGAGAGCUUAUAAUAUUAACAUGUGAUUAUUAAUUUGGGUCAAAGGUAAAAAGCUUUGAAAGUUUGAAACUAUGAAUUAUGCCACGUGGAUUGCACCAUUUGAUUUCUUUAAUCUUCUUUGUGUUCUAAAGAACAAAAAUAACGGCUAC
RNAcentral lists this long non-coding RNA (238 nucleotides) under Cucumis sativus (cucumber). RNAcentral's name for it is "long non-coding RNA (CSAT_LNC002869)". The record is from RNAcentral. Lineage: Eukaryota; Viridiplantae; Streptophyta; Magnoliopsida; Cucurbitales; Cucurbitaceae.